GACCUUGAAAUACCACCCUUUAAUGUUUGAUGUUCUAACGUUGGCCCGUAAUCCGGGUUGCGGACAGUGUCUGGUGGGUAGUUUGACUGGGGCGGUCUCCUCCUAAAGAGUAACGGAGGAGCACGAAGGUUGGCUAAUCCUGGUCGGACAUCAGGAGGUUAGUGCAAUGGCAUAAGCCAGCUUGACUGCGAGCGUGACGGCGCGAGCAGGUGCGAAAGCAGGUCAUAGUGAUCCGGUGGUUCUGAAUGGAAGGGCCAUCGCUCAACGGAUAAAAGGUACUCCGGGGAUAACAGGCUGAUACCGCCCAAGAGUUCAUAUCGACGGCGGUGUUUGGCACCUCGAUGUCGGCUCAUCACAUCCUGGGGCUGAAGUAGGUCCCAAGGGUAUGGCUGUUCGCCAUUUAAAGUGGUACGCGAGCUGGGUUUAGAACGUCGUGAGACAGUUC
Molecule: ribosomal RNA, 445 nt
Filed under: Escherichia coli
Lineage: Bacteria; Pseudomonadati; Pseudomonadota; Gammaproteobacteria; Enterobacterales; Enterobacteriaceae
Description: partial 23S ribosomal RNA
Rfam family: Bacterial large subunit ribosomal RNA
Source: RNAcentral